RNAcentral lists this transfer RNA (123 nucleotides) under Phaeosphaeriaceae sp. SRC1lsM3a. Its description in RNAcentral is "Stagonospora sp. SRC1lsM3a tRNA". It matches the Rfam family "tRNA". Rfam says of the family: Transfer RNA (tRNA) molecules are approximately 80 nucleotides in length. Their secondary structure includes four short double-helical elements and three loops (D, anti-codon, and T loops). Further hydrogen bonds mediate the characteristic L-shaped molecular structure. tRNAs have two regions of fundamental functional importance: the anti-codon, which is responsible for specific mRNA codon recognition, and the 3' end, to which the tRNAs corresponding amino acid is attached (by aminoacyl-tRNA synthetases). tRNAs cope with the degeneracy of the genetic code in two manners: having more than one tRNA (with a specific anti-codon) for a particular amino acid; and 'wobble' base-pairing, i.e. permitting non-standard base-pairing at the 3rd anti-codon position. The record is from Rfam by way of RNAcentral. Lineage: Eukaryota; Fungi; Ascomycota; Dothideomycetes; Pleosporales; Phaeosphaeriaceae.
GGGCAUGUGGUCUAAUGGUUGGCAAAAAACUUCACAGGAAUGUGAAGAGUCCCCUUGUGCAAGACGUCUCAUAACCGACUGGCCUCGGUAGAGAAGAUGCGGGUUCGAAUCUCGCUGUGUCCA